This 45-nucleotide non-coding RNA is filed under the name Schistosoma mansoni. The record is from RNAcentral. Lineage: Eukaryota; Metazoa; Platyhelminthes; Trematoda; Strigeidida; Schistosomatidae.
AUCCAGCUGACGAGUCUCAAAUAUGACGAAACGCGUGUCCUGGAU